AAGUUAAGUCGGUUAAGUGAAGAAGAAAAAUAAAGGAAUGAAAAACCGUGGGAGAGGAAGAAAGAAAUGAAGAGAAAAAGGGAGAGAAAGAACCGUGGGAGAGGAAGAGAAAAGAGAACGGUUUUGCUGCACUUUGAGGAAGGAAAAAGAGAGCUUUUGCUGUAAUUUUUGGAGGAAGAAGAAAGCAGAAAAUUUGUGAGGUAAGAAAG
Molecule: long non-coding RNA, 209 nt
Filed under: Theobroma cacao (cacao)
Lineage: Eukaryota; Viridiplantae; Streptophyta; Magnoliopsida; Malvales; Malvaceae
Description: long non-coding RNA (TCAC_LNC006348)
Source: RNAcentral